GGGCAUUUGCUCUAGUGGUAUAAUUUUCUCUUUGGGUAUGAAAGGUCUCGAGUUUGAUUCUCGGAAUGUCCU
Molecule: transfer RNA, 72 nt
Filed under: Zingiber officinale
Lineage: Eukaryota; Viridiplantae; Streptophyta; Magnoliopsida; Zingiberales; Zingiberaceae
Source: Rfam by way of RNAcentral